Kogia breviceps (pygmy sperm whale) is the source of this 1306-nucleotide non-coding RNA. NCBI's taxonomy places the organism in Eukaryota, Metazoa, Chordata, Mammalia, Artiodactyla, Physeteridae. The record is from RefSeq and is a predicted model, not a curated record.
UAUUUUUUAAUUGUAAAGUGGUCUAAUGUUCUCACUGUUCUAUAACUGCCCUUUUCACAUAACAGUGAGUAUUUGCCAUGCUAUUGUAUACUGUUCUGUAGCUUUACUUACAAGUAUCUAAUCAAUCUUUUGUUUUAUUCCAUAUUAUUCCGUAUUCCAAUUCCAUAAUUUCCAGGUUUUUGCUAUGAAAAUCAGCACUGUUAUGAACAUCUGUAGGCUAAAUAUCCAAAAUAAUUAUUUUGGAUUUUUACAGCCAUUCUGUGAUUUAUUUGCUUGGAUGUAACUUAUUCUCUAUUGGAUAUCUUUACCUCCUCUUAACUUUCCUGGGGACAUGGGUAAUGCCUGGAAUUGAAUUUGAUCAAUGGUGAUUAGCCCAGACUUGGCUGCUGCUUUGGCAUCUGUACUGUACACUCCUCCUCUCCGCCCCGCCGAGCUUCAUUUUCACUCAGGUCAGAUGGAGAGUGUGAAGAAACGCAACAAGUCCCCAUCUCUUCCCAAGGGCAAACACUGACCCUCUGUAGUUGUUGAGAGGUAAUUAUAUUGGGAGAGAGACGGGAAGUUUGGAAUGCAGAACAAAACCACUGCUUAAUACCCUCCAGGUCUGCCCAUGUUGCUGCAAAUUCUCUCAGCUGUUUGGAAUGGUUGGGCACUGGAAGCAGGAGAAGGGCAUUGGAACUGCAGGGCUCAGCUCUCCUCCCCCAGCCCCGACCAGCAAGGACAGGGCAUGUGCUCAGGUACUUCAAUUAUAAAAGUACUCCUCCAUACUUUUUACAAAAAACAAUUCUAGCACGUUCACCACGUUCCAGACAUUAUGCAUGAUCAUAUUUCAUCCUAAAGAUUUCUGAGGCUGAGAGUUUUAUUGUGUACAAUUAACAUAAUGAGACUGAUGCCUCAGCAGUGAAGAAACAUGACCACUCAUCACACAGGUAAUAUUGGAGCCUGAACGUAAACCCAUCUGCUUGACUCCAAAGCCCAUGCUCUUCAUCACUUUGUUUUACCAUCUCUCUGCUGCAUAAAUUAGCACCUAAGAAGCACCUAAGAAAUCUUUUAUAGAAAACCACUUGCUUCUAAACCAAGAACCUGCUCUUCCCUGCAUGCUGUCUUACAAGAAAGAAGUGACUUGGUGCAGAAGAGGUACAAUACGCACCCAAUAAAUGUUUGUUGAAUUAAUGAAUAGUUUAUAAUUGCAUAUCUUGCAAUGUGGUAGACCUGAAAACCUUCGCUACAUGUUAAUAAUUUUACCUUCUCCAGAUUUUAGAAUUCUUCCUUAAUAACUUUUUUUUUUACCACCACACAACUGUAAAAU